RNAcentral lists this ribosomal RNA (405 nucleotides) under Blastocystis sp. subtype 2. RNAcentral describes it as "SSU rRNA". It matches the Rfam family "Eukaryotic small subunit ribosomal RNA", at positions 538 to 954 of the family's 1831-position model. Lineage: Eukaryota; Bigyra; Opalinata; Blastocystidae. The record is from RNAcentral.
CGAUAAGCCAUUGGAGGGCAAGUCUGGUGCCAGCAGCCGCGGUAAUUCCAGCUCCAAUAGCGUAUAUUAACGUUGUUGCAGUUAAAAAGCUCGUAGUUGAAGUGAGGGAGUGUGUGUUGUGAUCGAAUCGAUCGAGAGCAGUACAACCUCCCCCUUCCAAUGGGUGUAUUGGGGUAUUCAUUUACUUCAUUACUCCUUUGGUCGUUUACUGUGAGAAAAUUAGAGUGUUCAAAGCGGGCGUUUGUUUGAAUAGAUUAGCAUGGAAUAAUGAUUGAAGGCUUUCGUGUUCGAUUUGAUUGGUUUGUUCAUGGAAGCAAGGUUAAAAGGAACAGUUGGGGGUAUUCAUAUUCACUAGUUAGAGGUGAAAUUCUCGGAUUUAUGGAAGAUGAACAAUGGCGAAAGCAA